This 7861-nucleotide unclassified non-coding RNA is filed under the name Diabrotica virgifera virgifera (western corn rootworm). RNAcentral's name for it is "uncharacterized LOC126878717". Lineage: Eukaryota; Metazoa; Arthropoda; Insecta; Coleoptera; Chrysomelidae. The record is from RNAcentral.
GUACUAAAUCCGACUCGAUUAAACGACGGCUUCAUAAAAAAACGAUCGAUUUAACAUUGAUAAAAAUUAAAACUUAGAUAAAACUAAAACUUUGUUGUGUUUCAAUUUUUGAUUUUGUAGUGUCAAGUGGUCUGAAAAGUUGGAGAUAGUGUUGACAGUGAUCUAUGUGUUUCAGUACUUGUAUCCCUUUGAUGCCAGUUGUCCUUGCAAAGAUAACAUCAAGUCAAUUAUAUGGAAUGGUUCAUUGUAUGAUUCGAAAAAACCACAACGUAAGAUGAAUGACCAAACCAACACCGUAUUCCUAGACCACGAAUUACCAGGUCCACCGACAGUAUUACCCAGUACUCAUCUUCGAAACAGUAUCCGAGUUCCAAACCAAGGAACGUUUUACUUUAAAUACGAAGAUAGUGAUUCCAGUAUGGAACGAAACGAAAGAGAUACAUCUCAAGAUGGAAACGGAAACAGCCAACCAUGCAUUAAACCUGAAGAAGAGUUUCUAGUUGACAAUAGGAAUGGAGUCAACAGCAGCGAUCUCAGCCAGGAUAUUUCUAACCAAAGCAAAAUAGUACAAAACAGCGAUUUAGUUCCAAAUACUGAUCCAGUAUAUAACAACAGCGGGGUACGUGAGACUGCAAUUCUUUCUACUACUUCUAAUAUUCCUAGAAUAACGGUAACCAGGAGAAAUACAUCAGCGUCCCAAGCGGAAACGGGACUAAACGAAAACGAUCCCAAUGACGAAACUUCUAACCAAAGCCAAUUAGCCCAAAACACUGAUUCCAGCCUAGAAAAUGGAGCAGUACACGAUAACACUCUAGUUUAUGAAAAUUCACUUCUUUCAAUUUCUAAAAUGUCUAGAAAGCCCAAAGUUAUCAGGAGAAACACUUUGCCAUCUCAAGCAGGAAAAAGUCUUCCUAGACCAAAAUCUGUACCAGAAGAUACCAUACGAUUACUUGUACAAAAGGCAGAAGAACUGAUAAGUCCAGAUUUCCGUUUUAAAAGGAGCGAUAAAUGGUCCAAAUCCGUUGAAACAGAUAACAGCUGUGAUGCUAGUUGUGAAGAAGAUGAAAAAGAGUCUCAUCAUUCCGAUGACUUUGAUUCUAGUACCGCUACUUUAAAAGCAGCAGCCAAUUCCUUUUAUGAUCUAGCGGAUAAUGACAAUAAGCAAUGGUUAGGACAUUCACGAGUUACUGUGGCUACGAACAAUGUUAUGAAUAAUUUUUCGAUAUCAGAAUCUGCGCUUCAUAAACUGGAUCUUUCUCAGAAAGAACUGCCUUCGUCAUCAGUUAGUACUAAUAAUGUUAACACCAACUCUAAUAAUUCUACAUCCUCUACAGUUGAAGAAGCUUUGCCCCAGUUACCCAUAAAAGAGACCUCAAGCAAAAAAAGAAAACUUAGGAGAAGACGAUUGUUUGGAAAAUCCGAUACACACUUAGAGACUUUUAGAACGAGUAUAACACAUCUAAUAAAAUCCGUAUCGUGUCCUGGAAAUAGUACAUCAAAAGCAUCAAGUUCAAGCAGCCGUGAGAGUGAUCAUUACUUAGAAGAUACCACCGAGAAACUAAAUAAAGUAGAAAGUAGUGCCGAAGAUACCGAUGAAGAUAACGUAAAAAGACCUAUAUUUAAGUAUGGAGGAAUGACUCGUUAUUUAGAUAGCGAAUGCGUAGCAAAUCGAUUUUGUUUGUCACCUGGAGAACACUCUGGAUCCAUGUCCGAACAAGCGUGGGAUAAUUACCAGGAGAACUAUUUGUCCGAACCGUACAGUGAAUCUCAGGAUUCAGAUGCUGCUCGAAGAUUAUUAAACUUUGGGGAAGACUAUGGCAAGUUUUUGGACAGCCAAUCUGAUUGGUCUACACCCUCAGAUAUUUCUCCAAAGAUGAGUCGCAAAUUUGGCCAACCGGUGGAUGAAGAUGAGGAUGAGGAUCAAUCAAAUAAUGAGCAAGAAGCUUUAGCGAAAUUGUUUGAAAAAUCCAAAACUGAUCUAGAAAUUAACCAACGGAAAUAUGCGAAUUCACUGGAAUAUUUAUAUCGGUACAUCACCCCAGAUGUGCUAGGUUCUUUAUUGAAUAGCCAGUCUGAUUUGUCUCAAACCUCAGAUAUAUCUUACAGAAGAAGGCAGAAAUUUUGCCAGCCUACGCAUGAAGACGAAUUGGAAAGUGCUCAAGAAUCUUUGACAAAAAAAUUCAAUACUGAACCCACCCAUGAAAUCAACCAAUUAAACUAUGAGGAUUUAUUACAAUUUUACCAAUGCAUUACUCUAAAUAUCAAUGACAUAAUUAAUGCCUGUGACGAACAUCUUUCGAUGCUAAAUCAAAUGAGAGAUUCUCCGGAGGAGCUUAAAAUGUCUAGGCAAGACCUAUCUCAAACUAUGGGGCUAUGCAAAAACUGGUGGGCGUUGAAGAAGAAAACGGUGGUCGUUUCCCAAUACAUAUCUCUGUGUGAAGAAAUGCACACGUUAUAUGCAAUCUUCAAAAGCACAAAUUUUGACCAAAUAAAAAAUGCUUCCACUCGUUAUGAUCAUCAUACCCAACUGGAACAACAUAUUAGAUUAUGCCAGAGUUCAAUGAAUCUUCUACAAGCACAUCAUGAGGAUUUGAUGAAAUUGAAUAAAAGUGUAGACCAAUUCAUUUUGCAAAAUGAACAUCCAAAUGAGGUGAACAAAUCCACCCUUAAAGGAUAUGUGGAUAAUUUAUAUGAGCUAUUCCACAACAUUUACAAAAAUAUGAAUCAAAAGUAUGAAGAAUUGCAGCUUUCGCUACCCAUUUGGAAAAAAAUGGAUGAUGCUGUGGAAUUGUUUGAGUUGGACCUAAAUAUGGAUGACCAUAAAAUUAACGCUAUCAGUAGAUCUUUAAAAGAUGGAAAGGUGGUAGACCAAGCUGUUACUAUAAGAGAACUAGCCAAUUUACUUCCAAAAAUAAAAAAGUCGAAUCCUCGUGAUCACGACGGUCAAGAAGGCUAUGUGUCGGACAGUGGGAUUUCAGACGAAGGGUCUGAAAAUGACACAAGGGACAGGGAAAGAAAACUGGCAAUGAUUCGGCAGUUAUUUAAAGAGUUCAAUGCAGAACCAACAAUCAAUAACCAGGCAAAAGACAUACUCCGUAAACGAAUUCAAAAAAUUGAAGACAAACUGCGGAAUCUACAGAGCCGAUUCCAAGAUAUGUUAGAACAUGACCUAAAUGGAUCUCUAAUCACUGAGAAAUUAAGUACCGUCUAUGAGAAGGAAGGUGAAGAACUCGCUCCUGGGGAUCCAGAUCACGACCCGGGUUCAAAUAAUCACAGAUUGUUUUGGAGAUUGUUCAGGACAUCUUUUUCAUUUACUUUAAUUAUAUUGGCUGCUGUAUGUAUCAGCGCAAUAAUUGCGCCGAAGUGCUGUGAAAACAAAAAUAACUACAACUGGUCUCCAGUUCCCCAGUUACAUUUUCAAGAUCGACCUGCAAUAUAGAGUACCUAAUUUUUCGUUUGUAUUGACUGUAUUAUUUAGACAUAGAGUAGGUUAAGUUCGAUUUCUUUGUACGUUACUUAACUUAAGCAUAUUUUUAUAUUUUUUAUUUCUUUACGUAUACCGCAAUUGCUUAGUUUAAGAGGACCUUUGAUUUGUUUUGAAUUUUUGAUAGUUUUUGUGUUAAAGAUACUUUUUAAGGUUUUAUUAAGACUAUUUUAUAUUUGUCUUUUGUUUGUCAAUGACACAUAUAUUUGGGAAUCCAUUUAAGCAAUUAGAAAUGAGUAAAACAUUAUUACUGAAUUGUGCCCAACUUAAGCAUCACAAAAUCUACUUUCCCUGUAGAAUAAAUGAAAUCUUCUUAAAAACAAGAUCGUACAUGUCCUUCUUUUUGUACAAACAAGAUAGUACAUUUCCCUUGGAAGAUAGGUCUGAUAUUGAGUGUCCAGGUAUAAUGUAUUAAAGUUUUAUUAUUAGCCCGUCUUGUUCAGAGUAUUCAAGGCCAUUCAAGGGUCAUUCGUAAAAAAGGUCAUUCGAAGAAAUCUGCCAACACUGCCUUCCACAUCAAUUCUCCCUCCCUCUCUUACCCCCAGUUUCGCCUCGCUGCAUUGGUCAGUGUCAGGCUAAUAGCCUUCGAAGAUGGAGGUCCCGGUCGCUGUUACCGCGACCGUUAAAUUCAUGCUGUGAUUCGUUUUUUAACUGCAAAAUGGAUUUCACCUAUUGACAUUCACCGUGAGUGAAUCGAAGUUUAUGGAUAAAAGUGCAUAUCUGUUUAAUAUGUUCGCAAAUGGUGUAAAGAAUUCAGUAAAGAUCGGAGCGGAAGGCUUUCAGAUUCAUCGUGAGUUUCCGUUCUGACUUCACUGAAUUCUCUACAGCAUAUGCGAACAUGUUGAAUAUAUCGUGGACGUACUGGAAAAAUCCACUAACUCAAAAGUAAAGUUUUGAGAAAAACGCAUUUAAACAUGAUUAUAUCUUACGGUUUGUAGCACCAGCGUGGACAACAAAGGCGAAAAAAAUAAUAUGUAACUCGACAAAUUUAACAAACAUAAAAAUAUACUUGGUGCUACGUAACUUUACGGAGUGCCUCGGUAGCUCUAAGUCUUCAGGGAUCUAGGGGUGUGGAUUCUUAAUAGAUUUUAAAUAUAAUAUAAACUCGAAUGCUCGGAGGGAGCCAUUGGAUAAAAAGAAAAUGAAAGACGAAACAUACUUAAAACUUCAAAAAAAUAACUAAAGUAAAAAGUUAAUAAAAAUAUAUAGUUAUCAUAAGAUACAAACACAUUUACAUAAAUAUAAAUAUCAUGACCUACCUUAGUGUUACUAUGUUGAUUUCUCACUUAUGAACAAGAGAAAAGGGAUCAGACAAUAAUGUUAUCAAUAAAAAAAUUAUUAUAAAAUGAAUCAACUUUUUAUUAAAAUUAAAAUAAAAAAAAUUAAAUGAUGAAUCUCUUGUAGACAAUAUAAGAGAUUCUGUUUACAAAAACAAUAAAAAGGUUUACAAACAACACCUUGUCAUAUAGUCCUGUCCUUAUUCUUCACGUUGAGAAUGUCCAAAGCACGUACUUUUCACUGAAUUUAGAUAAAGAGUACAAAAAAGGUUGUUUCUAUGAAAAAUUUCAGCGAAACUAAAUAAACUUCCAAAUAAUUCUGCUCAUAUUGACUUUUAAAUAACUUUUGAGGUACUUAGGAUUAUCUUUAGCACUUAAUCCAUAACUGCUUACAAAAAUAAACUUAGGUAGUGUAGUAUACACUAAAAUAAACUGGCUCUUUGCCUAACAGCGGCAUUUGGCUUGUGACUAGGAAGUCAUGAAAGGAGAACAGUUUCUAACACUACAUAGGUACUGCUUCUAAUACUCUACAUUUUCAGGAAUUAAAAAAAAUCUUGAUUAAGAACUACGUCAGAACUUAAUUUUCGAACUUAACUUUCUCAGAAAACCACCAAAGCGGCUUCUGCCGAGGCUACAACAAACCUCUCUCUCUCCCAAAACUUGAAAUCCCAAAGCCCAAACUUGAAUCUUUAAUCUCACAACUUGAAUGAAUCCUCCUCAAACCAAAACGCUUCCUUCCAAAAACCCACUCAAUUUCUCUCAUUCUACCCUACUGAUCCAAUCAACCAAUAAGAAAAAAGUUCAAUCCUUCCCUCUUUCAUCAUUGACUAAUAAAAUAAAUAAGUAAGCUUCCUACAUUUAUCAACCAAUAAGGAAAAACAAAACAUAUUCUAAGCUCAAGCUACUUAGUAGGGAACCAUCAGAAAUCAGUUCGCAAAGUCAGCAAACCUCUCCCAGUUCCACAGUUCUCAAGAAAAAUAUUGCUGAGUCCACAAUCCUACACUUGCGCUCUCUGAUACUGAUAUUAGCACGUAUGUGUAUCUAAACUCCAAAAUUCGUGGCGCCAAAGACCAUUAACUACUAUGUAACUCUUUUUUACAUUAAAAACUGAACGGGCGAGAAACUAAACACAGGAAAUCGAAUGUAGAUAUGACUACAAAAUAAUAUAACGUCUUUUUUAACAAAACUGAUAAACUACAAUUCCAUAUACCUCACGUACUUUUCGGAACAGAAAUAAAUUCCUUGAAUUUACUUGGCAUAUAAAGCAAUAUUCUUAUGUCUACAGUGUGGAACAAAAAUGUGUUACAAUACAUUUACAAUUUUUGGUUUCUGGGUGAGGCUAAAUAAUUGAGUUCUUUUGAAUCGUUUCAGUCUUACCUCUUAAAAAUCUGGUACACUGGCUGUUCAAGUUUUGGUACCUGAUACAUGUACAUAAAAAUAUUAGAAAACCAUUAUUUUAUUCAUGAAAAUUUGGAAAAAGAUGGAGUUCGUUGAUUUUCUUUGUCAUUGAAUAUACCGAUUUAAGCACGGUGCAUGACGAAUUUAGAGAUAUACGGUUUUUCCUGUUAGCAUAUUGAUGUUUGUGGAUUUAAUGGUAUUAAAAUGUCAAAAUUAAAAAAAAAAUGGAGUUAGUGGAUUUUCCCAGUGCGUCCACGGUAUAUGCACUUUUACCCAUAAACUUGAUUAUCUGACGAUGGCUGUCAAUAGGUGAAAUCCAUUAUGCAUUUAAAAACGUAUAACAGCAUAAAUUUCACAUUGUAGGUAACAGCGAUCGGAACCUCCAUCUUCGAAGGCUACUAGCCCGACACUGACCAAUGCAGCGGGGCGAAACUGGGGGGAAAGAGAGAGAGAGGGAGAGUUGAUUUGGAAGGCAGUGUUGCCACAUUUAUUCCAGCACGUAGCACUCUUCCUCAGCGGCAUAGUGAACUUUUUUUACGACUGAUCCUCGUGCUAUAUAUCUUUCUACACACUCCUUGUCGGACCACUUACUACCUUACUUAUCCAAAUGUCUCUUUUUUAUUUUCAUCAUUGAUAUUAGAAAAGGGAAAGAAAAAAUAAGAUUUAUUGAUAGUAUCCGAACUGAUAUUUUUUACAACCUUCUUUAUGGUAUCACUAGUUAGAGAUUGAAGUACUUAAAAAUAAUGAUAUAUCAUAAAAUAUUUUUAAAAUUUUACAAAAUAUCUAAUAGCUAAAAAUAUCUAAAAUGGUCUUUUUUUAAUGGAAACUCCCAAAUAUAUGUUCAUAUAAUAAUUGGACAUCAAUAACAAGUUAAGUCAAAUACAAAUUGACCGAGACCCGAAAAAAUGACCUAUUUGCCAUAAUCAAAAACGUCUCAAUGUCGGAUAAGCCAAGCGCCUGGAUCAUGACUAGACCUCACAGCGUAUCCUCAUAUAGAUAGUAUUUUUGUUUAUUGCGAGAAUAGUGUACAAAAACGGUAUUUUUAAAAAAACGUUUUUACAUUCCGAAACGUUUUUAUAUUUUACAGUUAGUGCAGUUAUAAAAACUUAUACCCUACCCUACCAUAACAUUAUACUCUGGCUGUACGAAAAUUUAUACAGGGUGUUUGGUAAAGAAUGGACCAUAGCUUAACCUUAGAUUCCUGAGCUUAAAAUAGGACGAUUUAAGCUAACUUGCCUUAGUACAAAAGUUGAUAAUAACCGAAAUACAGGGUGUCAAAGUUAAACUUGUAUUUUAUUUAUUUUUGAAUAUUUCCUGACAGGCAUGGGACAACAACACGAAAUUUGGUAAGUGGUGCUGGUACUGUCCACCCUACUAAAUUAUGUUAAACAAACGUUUCUGGCUACUACCAGAGGCGUACGACGGGGGAAUUGUGAAUGGUUGACCCUUCCCAAAUUCUACGCCACUGGCGGAAUUGCUAUUUUAGUGCAAUUUUUUGAUUCUCCAAUACUUUCUAUGUAAAUAACAUACUCUUCAUUUGUAACGAUAAAGCCAUUAGUUUUCGAGAUAUUUGAAGCUAAAAACGAAGGAGCAUAAUACAUUAAUCAAAAUAAGUGUCCCUUUUCAUUUUUAACUUCAACUAUUUCGAAAACUAAUGAUUUUAUCGUUACGAAUGAAGAGUAUAGUAUUUGCAUAGAAAGUA